UACGUAGGGUGCAGGCGUUAAUCGGAAUUACUGGGCGUAAAGCGUGCGCAGGCGGUCUUUUAAGUCAGAUGUGAAAUCCCCGGGCUUAACCUGGGAACUGCGUUUGAAACUGGAAGGCUAGAGUGUGGCAGAGGGGGGUGGAAUUCCACGUGUAGCAGUGAAAUGCGUAGAUAUGUGGAGGAACACCGAUGGCGAAGGCAGCCCCCUGGGCUAACACUGACGCUCAUGCACGAAAGCGUGGGGAGCAAACGGG
This 253-nucleotide ribosomal RNA is filed under the name uncultured bacterium. Its description in RNAcentral is "partial 16S ribosomal RNA". It matches the Rfam family "Bacterial small subunit ribosomal RNA", at positions 524 to 776 of the family's 1533-position model. The record is from RNAcentral.